CUGCCCUGCAGUGGCCAGGACAGCAGUGAUUCAGUCUCCUUGUGUCAGUGGCAGGCCACAGAAUCUCAGCAAAGCAGUGGAAUGACACAUGUUCUGCUGCAUGGAUGAACUUCAGGAAAUACCAAGGAGCCAAGCUAGGUGGGUGGCACAUAUGUGCAGAAAGAGAGACAGAGGAAGCAGGACAGCUGGGCGCAGCAGAAUGCAGAAGGCCAAAAAGCAGCUCUCUUCCCUUGCUUUGGACACUCUGCUCAGCAUAGAU
Cyanistes caeruleus (blue tit) is the source of this 259-nucleotide long non-coding RNA. RefSeq lists it as uncharacterized. Lineage: Eukaryota; Metazoa; Chordata; Aves; Passeriformes; Paridae. The record is from RefSeq and is a predicted model, not a curated record.